UGCCCAGGAGAUGUUGACUUUCUUCCCCUUU
RNAcentral lists this non-coding RNA (31 nucleotides) under Mus musculus (house mouse). Lineage: Eukaryota; Metazoa; Chordata; Mammalia; Rodentia; Muridae. The record is from RNAcentral.